Lolium perenne is the source of this 370-nucleotide long non-coding RNA. RefSeq lists it as uncharacterized. NCBI's taxonomy places the organism in Eukaryota, Viridiplantae, Streptophyta, Magnoliopsida, Poales, Poaceae. The record is from RefSeq and is a predicted model, not a curated record.
UGGCAGGGACAGGCAGGCAGGCAGAGGAAUCUAUUCGCCGCGACUUGGUGAUAAUGUUCAGUAAAUGGCGGUGCAUCUGAGAAGUCUCAGUGAAGAUGGUUAUGUUCAGCUCGGUUAUGUAAGCAUGCAGAUAUGUGUUCUUCAAGUGGCUCAGCGUUAGCCAGUGAUCUUCUGGCUGGAGUAGUAGCAAGUUUAUCAUCUUACCUUAAGAUCCAGAAAUCAUGAUUUAUGUUGCAACUGUGAUAUGGUAUCUGUUAUCUGCAGUUUCAAACAUUGUAUGCUGUUUUGGUAGUUCUUUUCCGGAAGUGUUUUACCUAUGGACACAUUAAUACGUCUCAAACGUAUCUAUAAUUUCUUAUGUUCCAUGCUA